GGACGACUUCGCGGGCGGCGAAGUCGAGGACGGCGCGGACCUGUUCGCCGUGUUCGGUGGGUACGGCGGCCGGGUCCCAGCCGGCGUCCUCCA
RNAcentral lists this transfer RNA (93 nucleotides) under Streptomyces sp. enrichment culture. Its description in RNAcentral is "tRNA-Pro(cgg)". The record is from RNAcentral. Lineage: Bacteria; Bacillati; Actinomycetota; Actinomycetes; Kitasatosporales; Streptomycetaceae.